CUUUUAGCUAAAUUGUAUCAAAUUUUUCUGUAAAAAUUUAAUUUUUUUACUUUUUCUUUUAUUAUUUAAAAAAUUUAUAUAUUUUUUUUUUAUAAAAUAAAAAAUAUUCACGGAGGAGUACGAUGUGAACUGUGAUGAUAAAAUUAUCAUUUUGUCCCUCACCAUUUUCGUUUCCUCUUUCAUCUUGCUCAUCCGCCUUCUCGAUCGGCUGUGAUUCCUCUCCAUUUUCUUCUCCACCUGCUCCUCUUCUCCUCAUGCACUCUCGUCGCCCCUCCAUUUCGGCGACAGUAGGGAGGAAAUCGAGGUGGGUGUGGAUGGAGAGGUGGGUAAGGGCAACGAAGGCGAAGGCGAGGUGGCGGAGGAGGACGAGGAGGUGUUUGUGGACGCGAACGAAGAUGUGAGCCAGACCGAGGCAGUGGAGGAGGGCGAGGCGGCGAGACAGCGAGGUGGAAGAGGGUGAAGCGCAGUAGAGUAGGCGGAUGAUAUUUUUGGCAUAAAAAAAUAUUUUAUAAUGGAAUCCUAACGGAUCACUAAUGAUAGGAGAUGAAAUUAAUAUUUUUUAUUUUACAAGAAGGCAAAAUGUAAGUUUUUAAAUGACAAAAAAAAGGGGUAAAAAAUUAAAUUUUGACAUGAAAAUUUUCUGUAAUUUAGCCUUUCUUUUUUUUAGUU
This 669-nucleotide long non-coding RNA is filed under the name Ananas comosus (pineapple). RNAcentral's name for it is "long non-coding RNA (ACOM_LNC040080)". Lineage: Eukaryota; Viridiplantae; Streptophyta; Magnoliopsida; Poales; Bromeliaceae. The record is from RNAcentral.